Leptopilina boulardi is the source of this 294-nucleotide long non-coding RNA. RefSeq lists it as uncharacterized. Lineage: Eukaryota; Metazoa; Arthropoda; Insecta; Hymenoptera; Figitidae. The record is from RefSeq and is a predicted model, not a curated record. The transcript has 3 exons.
UACUUUUUAUUUCAAACAGGAAAAUUUAGAACUUGUUGUUGGGAUCACUGUUGUUCUCGAGAAUCUUAGAACCAAUUGUAGAAAACAGGACUUUGCUGUGUUGCUGAUAAAUUUUAGCAAAAAUGAAAAUUGUAUGCACUGGAUUUCUUUUUGAAAAAUUAGCUUCGGUUUCCUGUUUGAUAAUGCUACUGAAGAUAAUCUCUCGUUACCAUAAAUCUUCUUGUUAAUCGAAAAUGAAUAUCUGGAUUGGUUUCUGCGCCUGAUUUUGGAAUUAGCAUCGAUCAUCACUUAGAC